RNAcentral lists this long non-coding RNA (1295 nucleotides) under Cricetulus griseus (Chinese hamster). RNAcentral's name for it is "lncRNA (ENSCGRG00015038303.1)". The record is from RNAcentral. Lineage: Eukaryota; Metazoa; Chordata; Mammalia; Rodentia; Cricetidae.
GUCACCGCACCCCCGGUUGCGUUCCUUCGCUUUUCCUUUCUAUUUCCAUUUCUUUUGCCUCUUCUGUCUCCAUUCUGUGUUCUCUUCCAUAGAAUUGUUUUUAAGAGAAUGAUGAGGAAGUGGUGGGGCGUGGUGGCGCACCCAAAGCUUUGAUGCCAGCGGAGAAGCCCAAGAGGAGGCUGUCUGGUUCUCAGUUAACCUGGUCAGCAUGGAAGAAACUGUAACUAAGGAUCCAAUGAUAACUAGUCUCGCAGACGUGAUGCGCCCCUCGCUUCCUCCUAAGCGUUGAGACACCACAGGGGACUCACCGAGCUGCCAGGGGCUCCACGACGACAGCGGCGCGACCGGGACCCCCAACAGGACUCGGCGAAGGAAACCGCGGGAGUUUUCGGGUCUAGGCCUUCGCAGAUCCAGGGUACUCACGCGUGAAGGCCUGGUUUGGGGCUGGGGUGGGGCUGUGGACUGGAGCCUUGGAGCCGCUCUCUGCCUGGUCUGCGAUCGCUGGAAAAGCUGAGGGGUCCGGGUGCGGUACUGGCGCUCAGGGAGGAGGAGCGAGUGGGAACCUGGAAGAGAGGGAACGCAAAGCGAGGAUAGAACUCGGCAGAGGCUGGUGGAGCCCGAACCCCAGACCUGAGGAGACCGUGCCUGGCGAGGCUUCGCGAAUGGGUUUCUGUGGACGCAGGAGGGCAGAAGAGCCAGCAGGGGAAGGAGCUACGGAACCCUUCACCUGUCUGAAUUUUUAACUAAGUCGACGAUCCUUACACUCACACACGAAUAUGCCGGGAUCCUCAAGUUACUUCGUAGCUCUUAGCAAUUUGCCUGUGACUCUGUGACUGCUGUUCGAAUCCGAGACCUGGGAAUGGGCUUUCUACGGAGCAACUGUGGUUUUCUUUCACUUUCCAAUCCCCAAGUCACUGCUUCAAUUACCAGCGACUACAGCGCGAGCAUCACUCAGGACUACUGAAGCAGAAGAAAGUAUGGAAACUGUCUGGUGCACACUCAAACAGGAGAACUUGGUAUUGGUGUAAUCAAUCUCGCUGCCAAGUGCUCUAAUGCCAUGGUGUGGCCAGAUUCGUUUUUUGGUUUUGUUUCUGUUUUGUUAUCUCAGAUAUCUCGAGCCAUAUCGACUUCUAGGCCAAGUUUGAAAUGAGAUCUGAGUUCUUACUCCAUGAGGUAUUUUAAAUAAUCUUAACAAUAUACUAAAAAUAAAAACCAAGACAUUUCCCUUCACAGUGAGUGAUUUGAGUAUUAAUUCAUACCGAUUGAAGAGCACGGGUAACCAGAGUGUAGCCUGA